UAAUACUGCCUGGUAAUGCCA
RNAcentral lists this microRNA (21 nucleotides) under Ictalurus punctatus (channel catfish). RNAcentral's name for it is "ipu-miR-429b". Its record names the gene ipu-miR-429b. Lineage: Eukaryota; Metazoa; Chordata; Actinopteri; Siluriformes; Ictaluridae. The record is from miRBase by way of RNAcentral.